Molecule: ribosomal RNA, 587 nt
Filed under: uncultured bacterium
Lineage: Bacteria
Description: bacterial SSU rRNA
Rfam family: Bacterial small subunit ribosomal RNA
Source: RNAcentral
CCUACGGGAGGCAGCAGUAGGGAAUCUUCCGCAAUGGACGAAAGUCUGACGGAGCAACGCCGCGUGAACGAUGAAGGCCUUCGGGUCGUAAAGUUCUGUUGUUAGGGAAGAACAAGUGCUAGUUAAAUAAGCUGGCACCUUGACGGUACCUAACCAGAAAGCCACGGCUAACUACGUGCCAGCAGCCGCGGUAAUACGUAGGUGGCAAGCGUUGUCCGGAAUUAUUGGGCGUAAAGCGCGCGCAGGCGGUUUCUUAAGUCUGAUGUGAAAGCCCCCGGCUCAACCGGGGAGGGUCAUUGGAAACUGGGAAACUUGAGUGCAGAAGAGGAAAGUGGAAUUCCAAGUGUAGCGGUGAAAUGCGUAGAGAUUUGGAGGAACACCAGUGGCGAAGGCGACUUUCUGGUCUGUAACUGACGCUGAGGCGCGAAAGCGUGGGGAGCAAACAGGAUUAGAUACCCUGGUAGUCCACGCUGUAAACGAUGAGUGCUAAGUGUUAGAGGGUUUCCGCCCUUUAGUGCUGAAGUUAACGCAUUAAGCACUCCGCCUGGGGAUACGGUCGCAAGACUGAAACUCAAAGGAAUUGACGG